CCUAGGGUGGCUGCAGUGGGGAAUAUUGGACAAUGGGCGAAAGCCUGAUCCAGCCAUGCCGCGUGUGUGAAGAAGGCCUUCGGGUUGUAAAGCACUUUCAGUGGGGAAGAAAGCCUUGGGGCUAAUACCCUCGAGGAAGGACAUCACCCACAGAAGAAGCACCGGCUAACUCCGUGCCAGCAGCCGCGGUAAUACGGAGGGUGCGAGCGUUAAUCGGAAUUACUGGGCGUAAAGCGCGCGUAGGCGGUCUGAUAAGCCGGUUGUGAAAGCCCCGGGCUCAACCUGGGAACGGCAUCCGGAACUGUCAGGCUAGAGUGCAGGAGAGGAAGGUAGAAUUCCCGGUGUAGCGGUGAAAUGCUUAGAGAUCGGGAGGAAUCCCAGUGGCGAAGGCGGCCUUCUGGACUGACACUGACGCUGAGGUGCGAAAGCGUGGGUAGCAAACAGGAUUAGAUACCCUAGUAGUC
This 464-nucleotide ribosomal RNA is filed under the name Vreelandella stevensii. Its description in RNAcentral is "partial 16S ribosomal RNA". It matches the Rfam family "Bacterial small subunit ribosomal RNA", at positions 338 to 795 of the family's 1533-position model. The record is from RNAcentral. Lineage: Bacteria; Pseudomonadati; Pseudomonadota; Gammaproteobacteria; Oceanospirillales; Halomonadaceae.